RNAcentral lists this ribosomal RNA (492 nucleotides) under uncultured bacterium. RNAcentral describes it as "partial 16S ribosomal RNA". It matches the Rfam family "Bacterial small subunit ribosomal RNA", at positions 29 to 507 of the family's 1533-position model. The record is from RNAcentral.
AGUGAACGCUGGCGGUAGGCCUAGCACAUGCAAGUCGAACGGCAGCACAGUAAGAGCUUGCUCUUACGGGUGGCGAGUGGCGGACGGGUGAGGAAUACAUCGGAAUCUACUUUUUCGUGGGGGAUAACGUAGGGAAACUUACGCUAAUACCGCAUACGACCUACGGGUGAAAGCAGGGGAUCUUCGGACCUUGCGCGAUUGAAUGAGCCGAUGUCGGAUUAGCUAGUUGGCGGGGUAAAGGCCCACCAAGGCGACGAUCCGUAGCUGGUCUGAGAGGAUGAUCAGCCACACUGGAACUGAGACACGGUCCAGACUCCUACGGGAGGCAGCAGUGGGGAAUAUUGGACAAUGGGCGCAAGCCUGAUCCAGCCAUACCGCGUGGGUGAAGAAGGCCUUCGGGUUGUAAAGCCCUUUUGUUGGGAAAGAGAAGCAGCAGGUUAAUACCCCGCUGUUCUGACGGUACCCAAAGAAUAAGCACCGGCUAACUUCGUG